RNAcentral lists this unclassified non-coding RNA (292 nucleotides) under Hevea brasiliensis (rubber tree). Lineage: Eukaryota; Viridiplantae; Streptophyta; Magnoliopsida; Malpighiales; Euphorbiaceae. The record is from RNAcentral.
GCAGAGCCUCACCUUUCAGUAGGAAGGUGUUCGUUGCUGGGACGGGUUCAAACUGGUGAAGGGAGGAGGAAUUCAAUACUCCGAUCUUACUGGGGAUUCAUCACUGGCUAGGGCUUUCGAAUCAAAGCAUGGGCAUCUGCAACUAAGAGGGAGCAGUAGAUCGUCGAUUGACGAGCCGGGUCAGUAAACUUCUAUUGGGACUUCUAUUGAUUAUUGAUUCGACUAGAGGGGCUCCUAGCAGCAAACUUGUAUGAAGGGCCCCCAUGGAGACGCAGGAGAUGCAGGAGCCGCC